AUGAUUUUUCUCCUUUAAUCUCUAUUCCUGAGACAAGUUGCAUUGAUAGAUUUGUUAAGGUUGACAGUCUUCGAAUUCCUGCAAUAAACUUCACUUUGUCAUUUAUACUAUUAUAUUUAUUACUCUUCUGCUGGAUUCAGUUUAUAAUAUUUUUUAUCCCAUUAAUGUUGGUGUACGAGACUACAGACUACUCUUUCAGAAGCUUAGCUGAGAAGGGGAAGAAAGAGAGAACCAAAGCUAUAGUGACUCAGAAUGAAGGAAGUAUGUAUUUUGAGCAUACUUCCUCAAAGUAUGAAUAGGUUUGUGGGAACAUGUCCAGGGGAGAGGAAACACUUGAGGACGUAAGAGAAAGAGGACAUAACUGAUGGAACAGGAGCCUGUGACGUUGAGACUGGAGGGGAAGAGUCCAGGACAGGUGAGAGAGGCCACAUCAGUUGGGGCCGGUCACGGUUGGAGGCCUCAGUUGCCAUGGCGUCAAGGAAGCACGGUUAUCCUCCCGGGUUAGUGGGUGAGGGCUGGAGGCAUGUAGUGGAAGUUGAGAACAGCUGCUGAGAGAAAUGAGGAAAAUCAGAGGAUUGUCAUGGACGCCAGGCCACACUGAGGUUGAAGACCUUGGCUUUGGGGGGCUUCAGUUUGCAAGAUGAUGUAAUUAUUUUUUCUAGGAGCGCUGUGGGUGUGGAAGGGGACUGUGGGCCCGACGCGGUGUUGGCGUUCUGAUGGGUGAAUGUGGAAGGCAGCCGGUGGAGCUGUGGACCUGACAGUUCCCGCACGUUGGCAACGGGGAUCAUGAGGAACUGAGAGGAUACACACGACACAGCAGGCCUCUCGGAGAGCGCAGCAGGGACGUGGCCUGAGGACAGCGCUUCUGAGAACCUGGUCCAGCCUGCGUGGGAAGAGCUGGAGCGGAAGGGCAGCCUGAGGCCCUCUUCCCGUGCGCCACCCCACGUUUUACACUUUCCAGAUUCCAAGAGGCACAUUGGGAAGGAUGCAGAUGCGUCCUCGACUCAUUCAGGAAAAGCACGGACCAAACCAUCCCACCCUGAGCUCUGCAAUGGACCGCAGGCCGAAGCCAUCCGUUCUGCACACCUGUGAUGUUGACCGGGCUACAACUCCCUCCACUCCUCAGCACCUGUGGCCUCUGGGGGUCGGGGGGCGUCCUCCAGGUAAGGCAGGUAAGACCCAGGCCAGGCCAGCUCAGGGACUUCUGCUGACCCCCCUCAUUAGGGAAGGACACUGAGAUACGGGGACUUAGCUGCCACUUUUGCGAAGCGGCUCACUUGACACGAGCAGAGGAGGUUUCUCGGGCUAAGCCAGCUGCCACCUGACCCCUGACUUCACCAUAACAGUCUCAUCUGCUGACACAGAGGGCGUUGUCAGAGCAGACCAGCAGCAGACGCCUGCAAGUUCAGAGGUGUCUGGCCUCAGAGCUCUCAUCCAACAACAUCCUCUUCUUGGGGCUCUUGGCGUUUUGUGACUCUGGGAGAGUUCCCAGCAGGACCUGGGUACACUGAUGCUGCAGUGACCACCCCUACACCAGCCAGACUAUCUAACUGAACCUCAGUCACAGCAGGAGACUAAAAUCCUCCAAGGUCAGAGAGAAUACAGGGGGCCCCUUUGCCUGGGGGUGCACUACCGUCCUCCCAGCCCUGCCGGCCUCCCCACCAAACGGACCAGGUAAGAAUUAGGUUGUGACGUUGGGUGGGUGGAGGGAGGGGUUACUGGGAUUCCAGCUGCUCACCUGCUUCCUGGGGCUCAGCUCUCUGCUCCCCGCUCCUCUCCUCUCCCCAGGUCCUGGCUCCAUCGCCCUAGCAGAAGGCCUCCCGCAAGCCAAGCCC
Molecule: non-coding RNA, 1835 nt
Organism: Delphinapterus leucas (beluga whale)
Lineage: Eukaryota; Metazoa; Chordata; Mammalia; Artiodactyla; Monodontidae
Source: RefSeq, a predicted model, not a curated record